RNAcentral lists this transfer RNA (73 nucleotides) under Felis catus (domestic cat). It matches the Rfam family "tRNA". Rfam says of the family: Transfer RNA (tRNA) molecules are approximately 80 nucleotides in length. Their secondary structure includes four short double-helical elements and three loops (D, anti-codon, and T loops). RNAcentral also lists the same sequence under 2 other names. The record is from Rfam by way of RNAcentral. Lineage: Eukaryota; Metazoa; Chordata; Mammalia; Carnivora; Felidae.
GCCUGGAGGGCUCAACGGGUAGAGCAUGUGACUUGUGAUCUCGGGGUCGUGAGUUUGAGCCCCACGCUGGGUG